CUACGGGAGGCUGCAGUGGGGAAUAUUGGACAAUGGGGGAAACCCUGAUCCAGCAAUGCCGCGUGUGUGAAGAAGGCCUGCGGGUUGUAAAGCACUUUCGGUUGGGAGGACUGCUUCUAGCACUAAUAUUGUUGGAAGUUGACGUUACCUUCAGAAGAAGCACCGGCUAACUCCGUGCCAGCAGCCGGCGGUAAUACGGGGGGUGCAAGCGUUAAUCGGAAUUACUGGGCGUAAAGCGCGCGUAGGCGGCUAGAUCAGUCGGGUGUGAAAGCCCCGGGCUUAACCUGGGAACUGCAUCCGAUACUGUCUAGCUUGAGUACAGGAGAGGAGAGUGGAAUUCCACAUGUAGCGGUGAAAUGCGUAGAUAUGUGGAGGAACACCAAUGGCGAAGGCAGCUCUCUGGCCUGAUACUGACGCUGAGGUGCGAAAGCGUGGGGAGCAAACAGGAUUAGAUACCCGUGUAGUC
RNAcentral lists this ribosomal RNA (466 nucleotides) under uncultured bacterium. Its description in RNAcentral is "partial 16S ribosomal RNA". It matches the Rfam family "Bacterial small subunit ribosomal RNA", at positions 339 to 795 of the family's 1533-position model. The record is from RNAcentral.